RNAcentral lists this ribosomal RNA (497 nucleotides) under uncultured bacterium. RNAcentral describes it as "partial 16S ribosomal RNA". It matches the Rfam family "Bacterial small subunit ribosomal RNA", at positions 28 to 507 of the family's 1533-position model. The record is from RNAcentral.
GAUGAACGCUGGCGGCGUGCCUAAUACAUGCAAGUCGAGCGGAAGGACGCUGAUCUUGCUUCUUUGUUGUUUGCGGCGGACGGGUGAAUCACGUGUGUAUCCCGUCCCUAUAUGACUGGUAUAACUUCGAGAAACCGGAGCUUAUACCGUAUAAUAUUUUGCACCGCAUUGUUCAAAAGAGAAAUACGGUGUUGCUGUCACGUCUAGAUGGUUCCGGGCUGCAUUGGAUAGUUGGUAAGGUAACGGGUUACCAAGGCAACGAUGCAUAGCCGAGCGGCGAGGGGGAUCGGCCACACUGGAACUGAGCCACGGUCAAGAGUACUACGGGACGCAGCAGUCGGGAAUCGUCCGCAAUGGGCGAGAGCAUGGCGGAGCAGCGCCGAGCGAGUGAUGAAGAUCCUCGGAUCGUAAAACCGUGUUAUGAGGGAAGAACAUAUGUGUAAGUAACUGUGCAGAUAUUGACGGUAACUAAUAAGAAAGCAACGGCUAACUACGUG